Long non-coding RNA from Triticum aestivum (bread wheat), 2499 nucleotides. RefSeq lists it as uncharacterized. NCBI's taxonomy places the organism in Eukaryota, Viridiplantae, Streptophyta, Magnoliopsida, Poales, Poaceae. The transcript is spliced from 3 exons. The record is from RefSeq and is a predicted model, not a curated record.
UUGCCGUAAAUGAGCGACUACUGCGUAUCCCGUCGUCCUGUGCGCCUCGAACAGAAUCCUGCUCGUCCCCCCGCCGCCGCCGGGUACCAUAGGGCUUUUUCCCACCGCCACCGGCCACCAUGACGCCAUGCCCCAUCCACUCUCGCUAGCCCCGACUACACAACAACCUAUUCAGCUCCACCGUGUGUGCCGAACCCGUUGCUCAGAUGAGAUCCACGCUCGACAGUACGAUGGGAGGCGAGACAAAUCUCUCCCCACUGCUGCUGGAACCGGAGACUCUACGCGGCGAGGAGCAGGAUUGGGUGUCGGCGCUGGGGGAGUCAGUUUCCUUCGGACGAUUCCUCUCUGAGCCGCUGGAGUGGGUGCCAUGGCGCAAAUCCUAGUUGUGCCGCCGGCUACCAUGGGUCAUGUCCAAUCAUCACCAGCAGCUGAGCUCGAUCUAUCGGUAGAAGGCAAUUUGUCAGUGCCAGUUGCAGCGGUCGGAGCUCGACCUGCCUCCUCCAACUGUGGUGAUAUGUGCAUUGGGGGUUAUCGCCCAACCAAUAGUUGUAAUACGGCGGCAGCCCGUUCAUCAGGAAGUGCAGCACAUAUGGGAGGAUCCGAGCUCUAUCUGGUUAGCUUAUCCUCUAAUCUUGUAGUGUUCAUGCAAAGAUCUAGUUUUCGGAAUAAGAUUGUUCUGUGAGUUGUUGUCAUCACAGGCUGCAAAGAAAUGUAGCCCUUAAUGAGCGGAAGCAUGCCAUGAAAGAUUGUGCAGAAGUUUGAGCAUAUAUAGGCAUGCAAGAAUGCGCUUCUUUGUUUGACAAAUUCCUUCAACGAGUCAUGGGUUAGUAUUAGACAGGGGCUGGAGUAUCACAACUUCUAGGCUUGAUGUGGCAAAAAAUUUAAAACUGAAAGACAACUGAAGCUAUUCUCAGUUCCGAGCAACUCGAGUUAGAAAAUUUUAAAGGCCCUUUAUCAAUUUUUAUACGCAUCGCUAUGCUAUUACACAAUUUCAUGACAUCUAGUAACUAGUAUCACAUCUAUUAAAUAGUAUCAAGCAGGCUGAGUACCUGUCUAAGCAUUAUCGCAAGAAUUUUGUUUUCAUGAAUUUUGUUAUCCUCUAACAGUCUCAUCCUUAAGAUCUGACGCUUGGUACAUAAGCAUUUGUUGAUAGCUUGGUACGAAUUCUUCCCUGGCCAAUCAUUAGGGGGUUGCACAUAGACUCAAGAAGCAGAUGCCAUUAUAUUAUUAUUUUUCAUUUCAGUUAGUUAAGCCAAAGAUUUAUUUAUUAUUUUGCUUCACUAGUGAUAUGUAAGACACUGAGAUUUGAAAGGUGCAUAAGCUUCCACACCAACAAUCGUUGGGAACAACCAGAAUCAUUCAUUCUUGGGUCAAAACAUUUUCUGGAUUUGAAAAUAGUAUGGGCGCAAAUAACUGGGCUCCUUAGGUGAAAAGAUACAGUGACUUUGCUGUCAUUUAACAAAUAUUAUGAAUUAAUAAGAUGUCAACACUGUUAUUCUGAACAAGAGAAUGAUGAUGUGGAGGGGGAGUAACAAUAAUUUCAUACUUGGCAAGCUGAACUCAGUACAUGUUCACUGCUACGUUGUUGCUUAUGUAUGUGCCGGUAGGGUUGUACUGCUGUCCAAGUUCUUGCCAUUUCAAAUUUAUAUGGUGCGGCUACAUGUAGCUUCAGAUGCUUGUUAUAGCUAAUUGCCAGGAUAGUUAAGCUUACAUUCUUAGCUUUGUGGUUUGUUGAUGUCCAGUGCACAUGCUAAUGGUGACUUGUAGGGCAAAUAAAUUAGAUGCAAAAUUAUGAUUGACGGCUAUGCAGCGAAAUCAGAACUAGCGGCUCCUAUCAUGUGACGAAUGUAUUUGGAAAAAGAAACUGAGGAAGGAACUAUGUACAAGUGCACAAAGGAGUUUUGCUCAGGCAGAAAGCAAAAUUGAAAAAGACAUGAGCAGGCUGUUACGAAGAAGGUGAACAACCUGGACCUAGGCGGCGAGGGGGAGCUCGGGAAGGCUAUGGGACCUGAGAGCAUCUUCAAGUCCAGGUUAUGCAUGAGCUUUCUCGCCGGCGAGUAAUGCGCCUUCAGCGGCAGAUGCUCCUUUCGCCCAUGCCAAAGUUGAGUUGCACAGUCCUGCUGCAUCUCAAGAAGUCGAAGACCAAGUGGUUCUCAUGGUGUUCAUGAUGAUUAUGCGUCUGUUAUUUUGCGGAAAUGCCUAAACAAAAAACUUUUCUUGUCUAUUUUUGUCGUAGUCCAUUUUUUCGGUUCAAUGAAUUCAUGAUAGGCAAGGCAUAAAAAAUGGAGUGAACAGACAUUCAUUCGUAAACUCGAGAUAUUAAUAUUAGAGCAUCAAGCAUGUAAAUCGCUGUACUAAUGAGGCAGCCCAUGUUUUGGCAAAAUCUGGUGAAGAUGAUGCUAGGUCCUGCUUGUAUAAUAGUGUACCUGAUGUUAUCAGGAGAUUGUUUGUAAUGAUGAGAUAUGAAUGAAUGAUAGGGUUCUGCCCAUUGUCCCAAAA